Molecule: unclassified non-coding RNA, 382 nt
Filed under: uncultured bacterium
Lineage: Bacteria
Description: contains 16S-23S intergenic spacer region
Source: RNAcentral
UCCGAGUUGUCCCCGGCAGUCUCCUACGAGUCCCCACCAUUACGUGCCGGCAACAUAGGACGAGGGUUGCGCUCGUUGCGGGACUUAACCCAACAUCUCACGACACGAGCUGACGACAGCCAUGCAGCACCUGUGACGGCCCAGCCGAACUGAGGGACGCCCUCUCGAGCGCCCGCAACCGCCAUGUCAAGGGCUGGUAAGGUUCUGCGCGUUGCAUCGAAUUAAACCACAUGCUCCACCGCUUGUGCGGGCCCCCGUCAAUUCUUUUGAGUUUUAGCCUUGCGGCCGUACUCCCCAGGCGGAACACUUAUCGCGUUGGCUUCGGCACAGACAGAUUCGACUCCGCCCACACCUAGUGUUCAUCGUUUACGGCGUGGACUAC